RNAcentral lists this non-coding RNA (195 nucleotides) under Pseudohaemophilus parahaemolyticus. Its description in RNAcentral is "Haemophilus parahaemolyticus Lysine sequence". It matches the Rfam family "Lysine riboswitch aptamer". From Rfam's summary of the family: Riboswitches are metabolite binding domains within certain messenger RNAs that serve as precision sensors for their corresponding targets. Allosteric rearrangement of mRNA structure is mediated by ligand binding, and this results in modulation of gene expression. The record is from RNAcentral. Lineage: Bacteria; Pseudomonadati; Pseudomonadota; Gammaproteobacteria; Pasteurellales; Pasteurellaceae.
UCUAUAAAGAGAGGUGCAACACUCAGGCAGAUUAAUUCUAGGCAACUAGGGCCGUUUGACGAUUAAUUGAUGGGAGUGCUUGCCGAGGUGUGAAUUCACUAGACUGGAAUGAACAUCGGCUAGGUCAGGUUGAAUCCUACUAGCUGUCAUUUAAAUCUCGUUUAAAGCGAUUUUAAAUGGAGUGCUCUGAGGAAU